RNAcentral lists this non-coding RNA (31 nucleotides) under Mus musculus (house mouse). Lineage: Eukaryota; Metazoa; Chordata; Mammalia; Rodentia; Muridae. The record is from RNAcentral.
UGGGUNUCAUGAUCUAGAGGUUAAGACCCGC